AGGGGUACUCGAGUGGCGAACGGGUGAGUAACACGUGGGUGAUCUGCCCUGCACUUCGGGAUAAGCCUGGGAAACUGGGUCUAAUACCGGAUAGGACGAUGGUUUGGAUGCCAUUGUGGAAAGUUUUUCGGUGUGGGAUGAGCUCGCGGCCUAUCAGCUUGUUGGUGGGGUAAUGGCCUACCAAGGCGUCGACGGGUAGCCGGCCUGAGAGGGUGUACGGCCACAUUGGGACUGAGAUACGGCCCAG
This 247-nucleotide ribosomal RNA is filed under the name uncultured bacterium. RNAcentral describes it as "partial 16S ribosomal RNA". It matches the Rfam family "Bacterial small subunit ribosomal RNA", at positions 83 to 334 of the family's 1533-position model. The record is from RNAcentral.